UACGUAGGGGGCAAGCGUUGUCCGGAUUUAUUGGGCGUAAAGAGCGUGUAGGCGGUUUGGUAGGUCCGCUGUGAAAACUCGAGGCUCAACUUCGAGACGCCGGUGGAAACCAUCAGACUAGAGUCCGGAAGAGGAGAGUGGAAUUCCUGGUGUAGCGGUGAAAUGCGCAGAUAUCAGGAGGAACACCGGUGGCGAAGGCGGGUCUCUGGGCCGAUAUUGACGCUGAGGAGCGAAAGCGUGGGGAGCGAACAGG
RNAcentral lists this ribosomal RNA (253 nucleotides) under uncultured bacterium. RNAcentral describes it as "partial 16S ribosomal RNA". It matches the Rfam family "Bacterial small subunit ribosomal RNA", at positions 524 to 776 of the family's 1533-position model. The record is from RNAcentral.